CGGCGGACGGGUGAGUAACACGUGGGCAACCUGCCUAUAAGACUGGGAUAACUUCGGGAAACCGGAGCUAAUACCGGAUACGUUCUUUUCUCGCAUGAGAGAAGAUGGAAAGACGGUUUACGCUGUCACUUAUAGAUGGGCCCGCGGCGCAUUAGCUAGUUGGUGAGGUAAUGGCUCACCAAGGCGACGAUGCGUAGCCGACCUGAGAGGGUGAUCGGCCACACUGGGACUGAGACACGGCCCAGACUCCUACGGGAGGCAGCAGUAGGGAAUCUUCCGCAAUGGACGAAAGUCUGACGGAGCAACGCCGCGUGAACGAAGAAGGCCUUCGGGUCGUAAAGUUCUGUUGUUAGGGAAGAACAAGUACCAGAGUAACUGCUGGUACCUUGACGGUACCUAACCAGAAAGCCACGGCUAACUACGUGCCAGCAGCCGCGGUAAUACGUAGGUGGCAAGCGUUGUCCGGAAUUAUUGGGCGUAAAGCGCGCGCAGGUGGUUCCUUAAGUCUGAUGUGAAAGCCCACGGCUCAACCGUGGAGGGGUCAUUGGAAACUGGGGAACUUGAGUGCAGAAGAGGAAAGUGGAAUUCCAAGUGUAGCGG
Molecule: ribosomal RNA, 600 nt
Filed under: Bacillus sp. (in: firmicutes)
Lineage: Bacteria; Bacillati; Bacillota; Bacilli; Caryophanales; Bacillaceae
Description: bacterial SSU rRNA
Rfam family: Bacterial small subunit ribosomal RNA
Source: RNAcentral